CAGCGCUUCUCCCGUAACUGCCCCGUGGAGAUGCUGUUGAGUGACACGAAACACUUUUUCUCCUGACAGGAUUAGCAAGCCAUCUCUCCACACUGCCCAGCUUCCCCUCUGCCUCCACCAGCUCUCUCCAUGUGGCCAAAGAGGUGGUUAUUCAAUCCAUGAAGUAUGGGACGACCCAUAUUCACAUUAUCCCAAAGGAAGCUCUUAGAAAGAACUGUGACCUCUUUGCACUUGAAGGCCCAUACUCUGCUCUUAGGCUUCAUGGCAGAAAUCCGGACUGACUUCAGAUGAGUGAGGUUAUUCUGUGAAUGUCCUUGUGUGAGACCAGCAGCUAGAAGAAGUAUCCAGUCCAGAAGAAGAGUAUCAUGGUAGGUAUUUCUGGAGAACAUGGAAAAGAAAUUGUGGAUCAUGGUAACAUCUAGACCAAGAGAAGAAAAUGGAAAUCUGUGCUAUAGGCAUAG
This 461-nucleotide long non-coding RNA is filed under the name Lonchura striata (white-rumped munia). RNAcentral's name for it is "domestica (Bengalese finch) lncRNA (ENSLSDG00000016184.1)". Lineage: Eukaryota; Metazoa; Chordata; Aves; Passeriformes; Estrildidae. The record is from RNAcentral.